Molecule: ribosomal RNA, 301 nt
Filed under: uncultured bacterium
Lineage: Bacteria
Description: partial 16S ribosomal RNA
Rfam family: Bacterial small subunit ribosomal RNA
Source: RNAcentral
CAGUCGCCACGGUAAUACAGAGGGUGCGAGCGUUAAUCGGAUUUACUGGGCGUAAAGCGUGCGUAGGCGGCUUCUUAAGUCGGAUGUGAAAUCCCUGAGCUUAACUUAGGAAUUGCAUUCGAUACUGGGAAGCUAGAGUAUGGGAGAGGAUGGUAGAAUUCCAGGUGUAGCGGUGAAAUGCGUAGAGAUCUGGAGGAAUACCGAUGGCGAAGGCAGCCAUCUGUCCUAAUACUGACGCUGAGGUACGAAAGCAUGGGGAGCAAACAGGAUUAGAUACCCCGGUAGUCCCUGUCUCUUAUAC